Molecule: ribosomal RNA, 661 nt
Filed under: uncultured bacterium
Lineage: Bacteria
Description: bacterial SSU rRNA
Rfam family: Bacterial small subunit ribosomal RNA
Source: RNAcentral
AGUGGCGAACGGGUGAGUAACGCGUGAGUAUCUGCCCUUAGGAGGGGGACAACAGUUGGAAACGACUGCUAAUACCCCAUAUGUCUACGGAUGAAAGAUUUUAUCGCCUGAGGAUGAGUUCGCGUCUGAUUAGCUAGUUGGUGAGGUAAAGGCUCACCAAGGCGACGAUCAGUAGCUGGUCUGAGAGGAUAAUCAGCCACACUGGGACUGAGACACGGCCCAGACUCCUACGGGAGGCAGCAGUGGGGAAUUUUCCGCAAUGGGGGCAACCCUGACGGAGCAAUACCGCGUGCGGGAGGACGGCCUGUGGGUUGUAAACCGCUUUUCUCAGGGAAGAAGACCUGACGGUACCUGAGGAAUCAGCAUCGGCUAACUCCGUGCCAGCAGCCGCGGUAAUACGGAGGAUUCAAGCGUUAUCCGGAAUUAUUGGGCGUAAAGCGUCCGUAGGUGGUUAAUCAAGUCUGCUGUUAAAGAGCGGAGCUCAACUCCGUUUAAGCGGUGGAAACUGGUUGACUAGAGAGUGGUAGGGGUAGAGGGAAUUCCCAGUGUAGCGGUGAAAUGCGUAGAUAUUGGGAAGAACACCGGUGGCGAAAGCGCUCUACUGGGCCACAUCUGACACUGAUGGACGAAAGCUAGGGGAGCGAAAGGGAUUAGAUACCCC